Molecule: transfer RNA, 69 nt
Filed under: Lichenostomus cassidix (helmeted honeyeater)
Lineage: Eukaryota; Metazoa; Chordata; Aves; Passeriformes; Meliphagidae
Description: tRNA-Asp
Source: RNAcentral
GAAGUGUUAGUAAAACAAUCACGUAGCCUUGUCAAGACUAAAUUACAGGUGAGAGCCCUGUACACUUCA